Molecule: ribosomal RNA, 253 nt
Filed under: uncultured bacterium
Lineage: Bacteria
Description: partial 16S ribosomal RNA
Rfam family: Bacterial small subunit ribosomal RNA
Source: RNAcentral
UACGUAGGGUGCAGGCGUUAAUCGGAAUUACUGGGCGUAAAGCGUGCGCAGGCGGCUUGCUAAGUCAGGUGUGAAAUCCCCGGGCUUAACCUGGGAACUGCGCUUGUUACUGGCAAGCUAGAGUGUGGCAGAGGGGGGUGGAAUUCCAGGUGUAGCAGUGAAAUGCGUAGAGAUCUGGAGGAACACCGAUGGCGAAGGCAAUCCCCUGGGCCUGCACUGACGCUCAUGCACGAAAGCGUGGGGAGCAAACAGG